Long non-coding RNA from Camarhynchus parvulus, 2156 nucleotides. NCBI's taxonomy places the organism in Eukaryota, Metazoa, Chordata, Aves, Passeriformes, Thraupidae. The record is from Ensembl.
GCGCCGGGCGAUUGGCGGCGGGAGCGCAUCUCCCCGCCCCGCAGCCAAUGAGGGCGGCGGGCCGGGGGUGAUGGGCUGCCUCUCGCGGGAGGGAUUCCUGGAGACGCUGCAGUGUGGCGGCGCUCCCGGCGCCGCGCAGCCCCCGUGCCGCCUCCGCCGCCCCGCCUGCCUCGCCUUGCCCUGCCCGCCGGCGGCCGCCACCGCCGCCGAAACUUAACGCCCGGCGCGCCGCCAGCCCGCCGAGCGCAGGGGGCUGGGGCAGCCUGCCUGCCGUGCCGGGGGCGGUCCGCCCGCGCGCCGCAGCCUCGCCCCGGGAGCUGCCGCCGUGGGGAGAGGCUGAAGGACCGAGCCGGCUGCGCCCGCCCCGGUUGCCAGGGAGAAAAGGAAUAAUUUUCUGAACUGUGAAGAAGAAGACCCUCCAUUCAAGAUUCCCUGGUGAACCCUGCAUUGAUGCCAAUCAUAUAAGGUAUUUUAAACCAACAAGAUUCUGUUACCUUCUAUAACCUAUUAAAUGCUUUAAUCCAUGGCACUUUACAAGAAUUAAAAUGGAGAUAGUAAAGAAAUUAAAGAAAUCACUUUUUCUGAUGCACAUAUUGUUAGAUUAAUGAACAUGUAAUUUUGUGGUAAUACAUGAUAUUUCAUUCUGACAUUAAAGAUUAAAAAAUCCAGUUGAUUUGCAUUUCUUGUUGAGAUAGUAGUUGUAUUCUUUGCCUUCUUUCACCAUCAAUUUAUGUUUUAUCAAAUCCCUAGCUGUCAUGGUUCAUUAUCCAUAGAUGAUCUUGAGCAGCCUUGCAUCACAAAAAAAUAUGCUGUGGCAUCUGCCAUUGUGCACCACUAAACAGAUCGCUUCUGAGUAGGGUUUUUCUUUGAUUAGUACAUUCAGCAGUGUGUGUCCUUAUAUUUUUGCCUGUAUCUUAUGCAAUGUAGCUGCUUAGAGAAAGGUACUGUGAUUUUCCAGGUUGCAGAUAGAAUGUCUGCUGUGCCUUUUUAGCUGAUGAGUUCCAUUUGAGUUAAUGCUUGUACACCUCAAUCUCCACCAGGCAGUCCCAUUGCUUCUGUAGUCAUUUCAUAAAAUUCAGUAUCAGUGAUGUAGACAGAAUAGUGAAAUUAGGAGGUGUGAUUAUAGUAUUAGGCUUGUAUUCUAGACCUUUUUCUGAUUUUAGGAGCCAAAAAUUAAAUUCAUGUCAUAAUUGUAUUAACAGUGUAAUAACAUCCAGAUAUAAAUAUAUUUAAUAUAGAAGUCUUUAUUUCCUGCAGGGUACUUACAUUGGUAAAGAGACUCUUCCUUUUUAAAAGACAGGAGUUAGACUUAAUGAUCGUGAUGGGUCCCUUGCAAUUCAGCAUAUUCUAUGAUUCUAUCAAAAAUAUUUAAUCUUCUAAUUCCCCUGAAUCUGUUCCGGUUCCACCAAAACUUGAAAAUAAAUUUUGAUUGAAGUAGUAGUGUGUUCAUCGCAGUGAUGAAAUUAAUUUCCAUCUCUGUUCACUAUCUUGCAUAUCUCAGUUACAGGCAGUUUCUUCUGAGAAUAUGAAAUAUUAUCUUAUGAAUGUGUCUGGGAGUAAGUCACCAAUGUUAUAACUCAGACUAAUUUAAAUGAAAGCAAAUGUUUUGGGAUUUGAAAGUUGAACAUCCAUUUGAACAAUAGCUUCAAGGACCUGCAUGCACAUUUGACUGUCUUGUGCCCUGAAGAGUAUUGCUACUAAAGAGAUGAUCCACAUGGACCCGUGAGUUACAAUGAGGUUCUCAGGAAUGUGAAAUAGAAUAAAGUUGUCUGUAAGGUAAAUAUGAAGUGGGAAAGCAAAUGAAAGCAAAAGUGGAAUAUCAAUGAAUCUAGGAGAAUUUUUUAAAAAAUCUAUACUGGUAACCUAAGAUUGCAGCAAAACCUGAGGACCUGAUGCACAAAUCUGAACUAGAAAUGCUUCUUAAUUUGUCACCUGAGUCAGAGAAUUUGUUUGGUAGGUCCCCUAGCAUGCUGAUGUCUCUAUAAUAUAUUACAAAAUGGGUUAAAGGGGUUGCUGUAAUAAGCAGAGUUAGUAGGAAAUGCCUUCUGAGACUUUUUGAGUGUUAGGAAGUGAUUAGUAAAAUACAAAAAAAAUUGAAAUUUUUAAGUGUUACAAGGAGUCUUCCUACUUAAAAACACUGUUAUACUGGCAAAAAU